This 73-nucleotide transfer RNA is filed under the name Felis catus (domestic cat). It matches the Rfam family "tRNA". From Rfam's summary of the family: Transfer RNA (tRNA) molecules are approximately 80 nucleotides in length. Their secondary structure includes four short double-helical elements and three loops (D, anti-codon, and T loops). RNAcentral also lists the same sequence under 2 other names. Lineage: Eukaryota; Metazoa; Chordata; Mammalia; Carnivora; Felidae. The record is from Rfam by way of RNAcentral.
ACGUGGCUGGCUCAAUCGGUAGAGCAUGUGACUCUUGAUCUCAGGGUUGUGAGUUCAAGUCCCAUGUUGGGUA